Molecule: ribosomal RNA, 492 nt
Filed under: uncultured bacterium
Lineage: Bacteria
Description: partial 16S ribosomal RNA
Rfam family: Bacterial small subunit ribosomal RNA
Source: RNAcentral
AGUGAACGCUGGCGGUAGGCCUAACACAUGCAAGUCGAACGGCAGCACAGUAAGAGCCUGCUCUUACGGGUGGCGAGUGGCGGACGGGUGAGGAAUACAUCGGAAUCUACCUUUUCGUGGGGGAUAACGUAGGGAAACUUACGCUAAUACCGCAUACGACCUACGGGUGAAAGCAGGGGAUCUUCGGACCUUGCGCGAUUGAAUGAGCCGAUGUCGGAUUAGCUAGUUGGCGGGGUAAAGGCCCACCAAGGCGACGAUCCGUAGCUGGUCUGAGAGGAUGAUCAGCCACACUGGAACUGAGACACGGUCCAGACUCCUACGGGAGGCAGCAGUGGGGAAUAUUGGACAAUGGGCGCAAGCCUGAUCCAGCCAUACCGCGUGGGUGAAGAAGGCCUUCGGGUUGUAAAGCCCUUUUGUUGGGAAAGAAAAGCAGCAGGUUAAUACCCCGCUGUUCUGACGGUACCCAAAGAAUAAGCACCGGCUAACUUCGUG